GAACUUAAGCAUAUCAUAAGCGGAGGAAAGAACUAACAAGGAUUCCCUAGUAACUGCGAGUGAAGCGGGAAAAGCUCAAAUUGAAAUCUGGCAGUUCUCUGGACUGUCCGAGUUGUAAUCUAGAGAAGUGUUACCUGCGCUGGACCAUGUACAAGUCUCCUGGAAUGGAGCAUCACAGAGGGUGAGAAUCCCGUCUUUGACAUGGACUGCCUGUGCGAUGUGGUGCACUCUCAAAGAGUCGAGUUGUUUGGGAAUGCAGCUCAAAAUGGGUGGUAAAUGCCAUCUAAAGCUAAAUAUUGGCGAGAGACCGAUAGCGAACAAGUACCGUGAGGGAAAGAUGAAAAGAACUUUGGAAAGAGAGUUAAACAGUACGUGAACUUGCUGAAAGGGAAACGCUUGAAGUCAGUCACGUUGGCUAGAAAUCAGCCUUGUUUUUGCUUGGUGUACUUUCUGGUUUGACGGGUCAGCAUCGAUCUUUUGACCAUUGGAUAAAGUCUUUGGGAAUGUGGCAUCUUUUGAUGUGUUAUAGCCCAUUGUCGCAUACAAUGGUUGGGAUCGAGGAAUUCAGCACGCCGCAAGGCCGGGUUUCGACCACGUUCGUGCUUAGGAUGCUGGCAUAAUGGCUUUAAUCGACCCGUCUUGAAACACGGACCAAGGAGUCUAACAUGCCUGCGAGUGUUUGGGUGGAAAACCCAUGCGCGCAAUGAAAGUGAAAAGUUGAGAUCCCUGUAGAGGGGAGCAUUGACGCCCGGACCAGACCUUCUGUGACGGAUCCGCGGUAGAGCAUGUAUGUUGGGACCCGAAA
This 805-nucleotide ribosomal RNA is filed under the name uncultured fungus. RNAcentral describes it as "eukaryotic LSU rRNA". It matches the Rfam family "Eukaryotic large subunit ribosomal RNA", at positions 30 to 821 of the family's 3401-position model. The record is from RNAcentral. Lineage: Eukaryota; Fungi.